CGUAGGGUGCGAGCGUUAAUCGGAAUUACUGGGCGUAAAGCGUGCGCAGGCGGUUUGUUAAGAUAGGCGUGAAAUCCCCGGGCUCAACCUGGGAACUGCGCUUAUGACUGGCAAGCUAGAGUACGGCAGAGGGGGGUGGAAUUCCACGUGUAGCAGUGAAAUGCGUAGAGAUGUGGAGGAACACCAAUGGCGAAGGCAGCCCCUUGGGUCGAUACUGACGCUCAUGCACGAAAGCGUGGGUAGCAAACAGGAUUAGAUACCCUGGUAGUCCACGCCCUAAACGAUGUCAACUAGGUGUUGGAUGGGUAAAACCAUUUAGUACCGGAGCUAACGCGUGAAGUUGACCGCCUGGGGAGUACGGCCGCAAGGUU
This 371-nucleotide ribosomal RNA is filed under the name uncultured organism. RNAcentral describes it as "bacterial SSU rRNA". It matches the Rfam family "Bacterial small subunit ribosomal RNA", at positions 526 to 895 of the family's 1533-position model. The record is from RNAcentral.